This 497-nucleotide ribosomal RNA is filed under the name uncultured bacterium. RNAcentral's name for it is "partial 16S ribosomal RNA". It matches the Rfam family "Bacterial small subunit ribosomal RNA", at positions 28 to 507 of the family's 1533-position model. The record is from RNAcentral.
GAUGAACGCUGGCGGCGUGCCUAUUACAUGCAAGUCGAGCGAACGGACGAGAAGCUUGCUUCUCUGAUGUUAGCGGCGGACGGGUGAGUAACACGUGGAUAACCUACCUAUAAGACUGGGAUAACUUCGGGAAACCGGAGCUAGUACCGGAUAAUAUUUUGAACCGCAUGGUUCAAAAGUGAAAGACGGUCUUGCUGUCACUUAUAGAUGGAUCCGCGCUGCAUUAGCUAGUUGGUAAGGUAACGGCUUACCAAGGCAACGAUGCAUAGCCGACCUGAGAGGGUGAUCGGCCACACUGGAACUGAGACACGGUCCAGACUCCUACGGGAGGCAGCAGUAGGGAAUCUUCCGCAAUGGGCGAAAGCCUGACGGAGCAACGCCGCGUGAGUGAUGAAGGUCUUCGGAUCGUAAAACUCUGUUAUUAGGGAAGAACAUAUGUGUAAGUAACUGUGCACAUCUUGACGGUACCUAAUCAGAAAGCCACGGCUAACUACGUG